UACGGAGGGGGCUAGCGUUGUUCGGAAUUACUGGGCGUAAAGCGCACGUAGGCGGCUUUGUAAGUUAGAGGUGAAAGCCCAGGGCUCAAUGACCCUGGAAUUGCCUUUAAGACUGCAUCGCUUGAACAUCGGAGAGGUAAGUGGAAUUCCGAGUGUAGAGGUGAAAUUCGUAGAUAUUCGGAAGAACACCAGUGGCGAAGGCGACUUACUGGACGAUUGUUGACGCUGAGGUGCGAAAGCGUGGGGAGCAAACAGG
RNAcentral lists this ribosomal RNA (256 nucleotides) under uncultured bacterium. Its description in RNAcentral is "partial 16S ribosomal RNA". It matches the Rfam family "Bacterial small subunit ribosomal RNA", at positions 524 to 776 of the family's 1533-position model. The record is from RNAcentral.